UUGCUCAAGAAGUCGGGAAAUCUCGUCAGGAAUCCCUUCAACAUCAUCUUCUUCCGCUUCGAAUACAGGGAAUUCAAAAUUGGGAGAUGACGUUGGAUCAUUAUGUUCAAUGGGUUUAAGAAACAACCUGCAUAAUGAUUUUGAUAUGAAAAGCUUUUUGGAAAACAAACAAGACAAUCGUUAUGCAGAUGAAAAGAUUGCUU
This 203-nucleotide long non-coding RNA is filed under the name Lathyrus oleraceus (garden pea). RNAcentral describes it as "Pisum sativum (pea) long non-coding RNA (PSAT_LNC022176)". Lineage: Eukaryota; Viridiplantae; Streptophyta; Magnoliopsida; Fabales; Fabaceae. The record is from RNAcentral.